RNAcentral lists this long non-coding RNA (1183 nucleotides) under Homo sapiens (human). Its description in RNAcentral is "HSALNT0389334". Lineage: Eukaryota; Metazoa; Chordata; Mammalia; Primates; Hominidae. The record is from RNAcentral.
UAUAAGUGCACACCACCAUGCCUGGGUAAUCUUUUGUAGAGAUAGGGUUUCUCCAUGUUGCCCAGGCUAGGACUGGCACUCGAUUGUAAAGCUCCUCGGGCACUGUUUUGUCAUGAGACUGAAUGGAAUGAUUUUUGUAGUCUUCUAAGUCUCCUGUGGAGAGCUUUUCUGUUUCUCAUUUGCAUCAUGCUCUUUCGCUAUUCGUGACAUUUCGCACUUCUGCCCUUUCCUUUUCUCUCAUGGACUCGAUGAAUGAACACUGAAUCGGAAAUGUGAAGCCCAAGGGUCAGAGGAAUGCAGCCUUUAAAGAGUACAGAUUCCAAAUAGACAAAGCAAAAUGGAGCUUCCUCAACACCUCCAAGUCUGAUGUUGGUGGAGGGGAAGCAAAAGAGAGAACCGACGCAGGGGUCGCCAGGCCUCUCCCGGGAGCCAUCAGGCCACCUCCAGUGCACCGAGUCCCUGCCUGGCCCACCUUGCCAGGGGAAGCCUGCUGAGGCACAAAGCAUACGAAGCUUUUGGUUGACAAAAACGGAAACCAGGAGUCUCCAUGGAGUACUCCUCAGGGACUGCAGCUGGAAAGUCAAGACAAAGAUGUGUGCUGGAGAAUAGUAAAAAAUGCAUACAAAUUCUCCAAGCACCAGGAGAGUGCCUCUUUCUUUAGCAGCCUGGAAUCAUCUAUGCCUGGAAACAUCAAUGUCUUCUGGCCAGACAAAGGCCAAGGAGUGAAAGGCGCUAUGCCCAGCAAGAAAAACUUACAAGUGGUGAAAGUGCCUGUGCAGGGAGGGGGUCAGGGGCUGGGUCAGAAUGUCCAAACCUCAGCAUCGUUACAGGAGGUUCAAAGUGCCUUUUCCUCUGACUCAGAAGCACCUGGUAUUAAAGAAUUCCAUGCUGCAGAGGCUAUGCUCCACGCAAGAGCUAGAACAGCAUUUUAGGGUGGAAACUAAAUGGAAUGGAGGCGCAAAUGCUGUUGAGGAGACAGUUGCCCUGGGCCAGGUCCUAGCCUCACCUUCCAGCUGCAAGAAGUUGCUUGAGCUUUCUACGCUUCUGCACCCUCAUCUAUAAAGUGAACAGAAUGACAGUGCCCCAUAAUGACAGCUUUGAUAAGGAUUAAAUGAAAUUAAGUAUGUAAAAUGUUUAAUACAGUGCCUAGUAAAUUCUUAAUAAAUAAAUGGAUGACAGUGAA